RNAcentral lists this ribosomal RNA (520 nucleotides) under uncultured Glomus. Its description in RNAcentral is "SSU rRNA". It matches the Rfam family "Eukaryotic small subunit ribosomal RNA", at positions 569 to 1091 of the family's 1831-position model. Lineage: Eukaryota; Fungi; Glomeromycota; Glomeromycetes; Glomerales; Glomeraceae. The record is from RNAcentral.
CGCAGCCGCGGUAAUUCCAGCUCCAAUAGCGUAUAUUAAAGUUGUUGCAGUUAAAAAGCUCGUAGUUGAAUUUCGGGACCAAUCUGCCGUCGUGCCUCCGGUACGCACUGGUUUUAUUGGUCUCUCCCUUCUGACGAACCAUGAUGUCAUUAAUUUGGUGUCAUGGGGAAUCAGGACUGUUACUUUGAAAAAAUUAGAGUGUUUAUAGCAGGCUCACGCUUGAAUACACUAGCAUGGAAUAAUGAAAUAGGACGUUUGACCCUAUUUUGUUGGUUUCUAGGAUCGACGUAAUGAUUAAUAGGGAUAGUUGGGGGCAUUAGUAUUCAAUUGUCAGAGGUGAAAUUCUUGGAUUUAUUGAAGACUAACUACUGCGAAAGCAUUUGCCAAGGAUGUUUUCAUUAAUCAAGAACGAAAGUUAGGGGAUCGAAGACGAUCAGAUACCGUCGUAGUCUUAACCAUAAACUAUGCCGACUAGGGAUCGGAUGAUGUUAAUUUUUUAAUGACUCAUUCGGCGCCUUAC